CCGGCGACCGGCGCACGGGUGAGUAACACGUAUGGAACCUGCCCGCAGCAGGGGGAUAAGCGGAAGAAAUUCCGUCUAAUACCGCGUAACAACGUUGGGAGGCAUCUCCCGAUGUUUAAAGAUUUAUCGGCUGCGGAUGGCCAUGCGGCGCAUUAGCUAGUCGGCGGGGUAACGGCCCACCGAGGCGACGAUGCGUAGGGGUUCUGAGAGGAAGGUCCCCCACACUGGUACUGAGACACGGCCCAAACUCCUACGGAAGGCAGCAG
This 266-nucleotide ribosomal RNA is filed under the name uncultured bacterium. RNAcentral's name for it is "partial 16S ribosomal RNA". It matches the Rfam family "Bacterial small subunit ribosomal RNA", at positions 88 to 354 of the family's 1533-position model. The record is from RNAcentral.